Molecule: ribosomal RNA, 388 nt
Filed under: uncultured bacterium
Lineage: Bacteria
Description: bacterial SSU rRNA
Rfam family: Bacterial small subunit ribosomal RNA
Source: RNAcentral
CUUCUUUAUCACCGAGUGCUUGCACUCACCGAUAAAGAGUUGAGUGGCGAACGGGUGAGUAACACGUGGGCAACCUGCCCAAAAGAGGGGGAUAACACUUGGAAACAGGUGCUAAUACCGCAUAACCAUAGUUACCGCAUGGUAACUAUGUAAAAGGUGGCUAUGCUACCGCUUUUGGAUGGGCCCGCGGCGCAUUAGCUAGUUGGUGGGGUAAAGGCUUACCAAGGCAAUGAUGCGUAGCCGAACUGAGAGGUUGAUCGGCCACAUUGGGACUGAAACACGGCCCAAACUCCUACGGGAGGCAGCAGUAGGGAAUCUUCCACAAUGGGCGAAAGCCUGAUGGAGCAACGCCGCGUGGGUGAAGAAGGUCUUCGGAUCGUAAAACCCU